Molecule: ribosomal RNA, 497 nt
Filed under: uncultured bacterium
Lineage: Bacteria
Description: partial 16S ribosomal RNA
Rfam family: Bacterial small subunit ribosomal RNA
Source: RNAcentral
GAUGAACGCUGGCGGCGUGCCUAAUACAUGCAAGUCGAGCGAACAGACGAGGAGCUUGCUCCUCUGACGUUAGCGGCGGACGGGUGAGUAACACGUGGAUAACCUACCUAUAAGACUGGGAUAACUUCGGGAAACCGGAGCUAAUACCGGAUAAUAUAUUGAACCGCAUGGUUCAAUAGUGAAAGACGGUUUUGCUGUCACUUAUAGAUGGAUCCGCGCCGCAUUAGCUAGUUGGUAAGGUAACGGCUUACCAAGGCAACGAUGCGUAGCCGACCGGAGAGGGUGAUCGGCCACACUGGAACUGAGACACGGUCCAGACUCCUACGGGAGGCAGCAGUAGGGAAUCUUCCGCAAUGGGCGAAAGCCUGACGGAGCAACGCCGCGUGAUUGAUGAAGGUCUUCGGAUCGUAAAACUCUGUUAUUAGGGAAGAACAAAUGUGUAAGUAACUAUGCACGUCUUGACGGUACCUAAUCAGAAAGCCACGGCUAACUACGUG